Molecule: long non-coding RNA, 646 nt
Organism: Molossus molossus (Pallas's mastiff bat)
Lineage: Eukaryota; Metazoa; Chordata; Mammalia; Chiroptera; Molossidae
Exons: 4
Source: RefSeq, a predicted model, not a curated record
CAAGGAACCUUAGUAAAAGAACCAAAUUUACUUCAAUUUAAGGCAAAUUCCACACAGAGACUGUCUCAGACACAGGCACAGGACCAGACAGCAUAAAAACACCACCAUCAUGCAUGACAGGAAGGGAGUGGUGUCAGGAGCAGACAGGGUGGGGCCUGGUCUCCACCCAUGCACAGGACGUUCAGUGGGCUGAGGAGCCCCAUGCGGCAGAGGGACUGGCAUGCAUGGCCUGCCCCACGGGGUGAAGGCUGGGCAGCUGGGUGGGCCCAGGGGUGAAAUCACCUUUCCCAUGGCAGGAGCAGGAGCUUCUGCUCAGAUGACAGCCCAAGGCUAAAGGACUAAGCCUCCGCCCACUUGGAUGCUCUGAGGAAACGUCAUCACGUCUGUUGUUUCAUUCACUCGAACACUUAGUGAGCACCUGGUCCACGCCAGGAUGUGGCCCUGAACCGUCCUCAGUCUGAGGCCCGGCCCCAGGCACUUAGCAGGUGAGAGGCAGGACAGCACAGUCUGCAGAGGUACCAGUCCUGUCUCUACCUGCUACUGGCUGUGUGAUCGUGGGCCUAAGCACCUCUUCUUCAGUGAGGAUGACCAGUCUGGGAGACCUGGCUGCCAGCUGGGGCCAACUGCCACCGCCCGGAAAGCCCUC